CCUACGGGAGGCAGCAGUGGGGAAGAUUGCACAAUGGGUGAAAGCCUGAUGCAGCGACGCCGCGUGAGGGAUGACGGCCUUCGGGUCGUAAACCUCUUUCAGCAGGGAAGAAGCGAAAGUGACGGUACCUGCAGAAGAAGCACCGGCUAACUACGUGCCAGCAGCCGCGGUAAUACGUAGGGUGCGAG
This 188-nucleotide ribosomal RNA is filed under the name uncultured bacterium. Its description in RNAcentral is "partial 16S ribosomal RNA". It matches the Rfam family "Bacterial small subunit ribosomal RNA", at positions 338 to 538 of the family's 1533-position model. The record is from RNAcentral.